This 468-nucleotide ribosomal RNA is filed under the name uncultured bacterium. Its description in RNAcentral is "partial 16S ribosomal RNA". It matches the Rfam family "Bacterial small subunit ribosomal RNA", at positions 28 to 507 of the family's 1533-position model. The record is from RNAcentral.
GACGAACGCUGGCGGCGUGCUUAACACAUGCAAGUCGAACGGAAAGGCCCUGCUUUUGUGGGGUGCUCGAGUGGCGAACGGGUGAGUAACACGUGAGUAACCUGCCCUUGACUUUGGGAUAACUUCAGGAAACUGGGGCUAAUACCGGAUAGGAGCUCCUGCUGCAUGGUGUGGGUUGGAAAGUUUCGGCGGUUGGGGAUGGACUCGCGGCUUAUCAGCUUGUUGGUGGGGUAGUGGCUUACCAAGGCUUUGACGGGUAGCCGGCCUGAGAGGGUGACCGGCCACAGUGGGACUGAGAUACGGCUCAGACUCCUACGGGAGGCAGCAGUGGGGAAUAUUGCACAAUGGGCGGAAGCCUGAUGCAGCAACGCCGCGUGCGGGAUGACGGCCUUCGGGUUGUAAACCGCUUUCGCCUGUGACGAAGCGUGAGUGACGGUAAUGGGUAAAGAAGCACCGGCUAACUACGUG